Molecule: non-coding RNA, 814 nt
Organism: Prunus avium (sweet cherry)
Lineage: Eukaryota; Viridiplantae; Streptophyta; Magnoliopsida; Rosales; Rosaceae
Source: RefSeq, a predicted model, not a curated record
UCAUCUUCGAUCACAAAGAAAUAAAUAAAUAAAUAAAGUAAUUUAAGCGGGACUUUUAGAAAUUCCAGUCAAUGAACUCUCAAUCACCGUCAGACCAAAAGAGAAAAAAAGUCCCAAAAGAUGCCUUACUGAUAUUUACCCUUUUUAACCCUGAAAAACACACAAGUUUCCUCACUGGUUUCUUAUAUAUGGAGAGGGAAAGUGACUUUACUCAUAACCACCACUCAAAUACAGAGAGAAGGAGAUCAAAGGCUGGCAGCAAGAGGAAAUGGAAAUUUUUGGGUGAGAGGUUGCCGGAAAGAAUACAUAAUAUUCACCUAAGUUUUGAUAUUAAAUUCUUUCCGAAACCUCCCAUUCCAAUGAUUUCCAGCUAUUCCUUUCUUUUCUCCAACCCAACACAACACAAGCAGAGUUUGAGCGAGUGCCUUUAUUCUAUUCCACCAACCAGUCCAAGCCACCGAUACUUAAAGGCUGAACCCCUCUCCUCCAAAAUAAUUUGUUCAAUUCACAUCAAUGGAAUGGUUCCUUCCAGUUCCAGAUGAAGAGAGAGAGAGAGACAGAAAGAGAGAAGAGGGAAAGGGAGAAGAGCUUGAGGAAGUUUUUGGCCAUGGGAGGUUUGGCAAGAAAUAUUUAUUAUAUAUUCAACUACUUCAAGUUCUGUUUGAAGUAUGUAUGUAUAAGUAGUUCUUGCCUAUUCCUCCCAUGCCAAUGAUUUCCUAAUUGGGUUCAUCUCUUUCCCUUGCUUUUCUUAUAUCUGGACAAUCGUUUAUUUUGUGAAGGAAGUCACAUGGAGAUGGAGCUCAAUUUUUAUCAA